Long non-coding RNA from Homo sapiens (human), 855 nucleotides. RefSeq annotates it as CDK6 antisense RNA 1. The transcript is spliced from 5 exons. NCBI's taxonomy places the organism in Eukaryota, Metazoa, Chordata, Mammalia, Primates, Hominidae. The record is from RefSeq and is marked validated.
GGGCCCAGUCGCGUCGGGCCUCCCGAGGGGGCUGCGAGUGUCAGUCGGCUCUCCGCACGUGUCCGCGGCCUCGCGGAGCAGUCCACCCCUGGCUGGUUUCUGCUUCCACCUGCUGAUCUCACAGAGCUUGAUUUUGACACAAAGCAAGAUACUGAACAUUAACACCACCACAGAGGCCUACUAUGUGCUCCUGUCCCUGUUGUUACUUCCUCCAAAGUGUUGGAGGAGGGGCCUUGUGGAAGGUGAUUGAAUCACGGGGACGGACUUUCCUGUUGCUGCUCUUGUGAUGGAUUUCUCACAAGAUCUGGUUGUUUGAAAGUGUGUAGCACCUGCCACUUCACUCCCUCUCUCUCCUCCUGGCCAUGUGAAGACUGUGCCUGCUUCCUCUUUGUCUUCCACCAUGAUUGUAAGUUUCCUGAGGUCUCCCCAGGAGCAGAAGCCUAUACAUCCUGCAGAACUGCAAGCUAAUUAAAUCUGUUUUCUUUAUAAAUUACCCAGUCCCAGCACUGCAAGCUAUUUGGCAUAUGAAGGUCUUGACCUGAGAAAACCAUCUUGGAUAACUGCAGCAAGGAAAAGGAAAAAUGCAACACCUAGGAGAUUUCAGUAAACAGUAGAAUCAUGCCAACCUAAUCUGUGUUAAAAUGCUUGGAAUGUGGGAGCCGCUGAUGAUGCCUCUUGUCUGUGUGUCUGACUGAAUCCUUUCUUUUCUCAGAGCAGCAAAGCAAAGCCUGGGAACCAGGCCAAAUGCCUGCCACUUACCUUAAAUUGAUCAGCCACUUUGAGAUUAAAACCCCUGAAAGCUGCCACACCGUGAAAACAAGGCCUCCUUCACAUUAAAGGCAAAUUGCGACUUUG